Lactuca sativa (garden lettuce) is the source of this 1332-nucleotide long non-coding RNA. RefSeq lists it as uncharacterized. The record is from RefSeq and is a predicted model, not a curated record. NCBI's taxonomy places the organism in Eukaryota, Viridiplantae, Streptophyta, Magnoliopsida, Asterales, Asteraceae.
AAAAAAACUAGUUUGUAACCUACUUUGUUGAUUUGUUCGUAUCAACCUAAAAUAAACCUCAAAAAAAAUAAACUACGAUGAUAAACUAGUCAUCUGUUAAUUUGUCCACUGACAUACCAUUGCUCUUCGUAUGUACAAACCGCGAUUAAUUUGCUCACCUCCUUUCAUUUGGUUCUUUUCUAAGUUUCAGAGAACUUGAUUUACUUUGAAGAGGUCGACAUCACUGAUAUCGACAAUAAUAGACAAAUGGAGAGGGUGUAUCCGUUUGUUACACUAUAAAGAUGUGAACAGGGGUCUGCACUUUGAGCGUUAUGGUGGUCUAGGAAUCCUAAUGCUUUUCAACUCACAUGGAGGCCAACCGGUCAUAAAUAGUCAACGCAGUUGGCCUCCUCCUUCAAUCAGGUGACAAAUCUGAGCCCUAAUUUUCAAGUUCAAUUAUGUGUAUUAAAACUGGUAAUGGAGGUUCUGUUGCAUUUGAGGAGGCGAAGGGGUGACAUUUUUACAUACAUAAAAGCUCUGGUGGGAUGCCAAUAACCUAUUUGUUGAAAUGAUUCAAAGAAGUUUCUUAUUCAGAAACACGUUAAUUGGUGGGUAUGCUCUUAUUAGUUGCAAUUUAUCUCCGAUCUUCGUCUUCUUCUUUUUUAGUUCUUUAAUGAAUGUUUGUUUUCUUUCAAUCAUAAAGUGGGCAGGUGUAUUUCAGAGUAAAUACGAUUCACUUUUGUUGUAGAGAUAUGCUUCUUUUUCUGCCUUUUCACUUCAAUUCUUUAACAAUUAAGAUACAAUUUACGUACAAUUUAAGAAUUUCGUUUUGCAUAUUAACAUUUGCCUAUUUAUGUUAUUUUGUUCAUUAGUUAUACACAAUAGUUAAAGUAAACUAAAAAAGAAGGAAGGAUUGUUGUUGUGUCAUGUGAACUUCAUAAGAUGGGUACCUGUGGGAAUUAAAUUCGACAAGGUCAACAAUGAAAAGAGGUAUUGUCCUCCACAACCGUUUACAUGAACAUCACAGGUUAAAAGGUUGGUAGACUGGAUUGACAUGACAUUGAUCAUCUUGAUGAUACUUCCUUCUGGUCUUUUCCCCAACAAAGCACAAAUGCAGUUUAUAGCAACAUACAUUUAUUUGUGCAUUGAAAAUCUAUUUUAUAGCAUUGUAUUUUCUAUUAUAUCAUCAUUCAAACGUUGGUUUACUUCUUCAGCAAUGGAUACUAGAUAGGAAUCAAUUUUUGUUAUUAGCUUUAAUAUGUUCUAUAUUUUUUAUGAUUAGUGCAUGAGUAAUGUAUGUUAGUUCUUUAUUUGAGAUGCGGUUUUAGUAAUAUGCUAAAAUUAUUUUGGUCU